GGUCAAGCGAACAAGUGCAUGUGGUGGAUGCCUUGGCGAUCACAGGCGAUGAAGGACGCGGUAGCCUGCGAAAAGCUACGGGGAGCUGGCAAACGAGCUUUGAUCCGUAGAUGUCCGAAUGGGGAAACCCACUCCUUAUGGAGUAUCCAUGACUGAAUACAUAGGUCAUGUGAAGCGAACGCGGUGAACUGAAACAUCUAAGUAACCGCAGGAAAAGAAAUCAACCGAGAUUCCCAGAGUAGUGGCGAGCGAAAUGGGACCAGCCUGUACUCUUUAUCUUCAUUGUUAGUCGAAGGCUCUGGAAAGUGCCGCCAUAGCAGGUGAUAGCCCUGUAGACGAAAACAGCGAGGAAGAACUGGGUGUACGACAAGUAGGGCGGGACACGUGAAAUCCUGUCUGAAGAUGGGGGGACCAUCCUCCAAGGCUAAAUACUCGUGAUCGACCGAUAGUGAACCAGUACCGUGAGGGAAAGGCGAAAAGAACCCCGGGAGGGGAGUGAAACAGAUCCUGAAACCGCAUGCAUACAAACAGUCGGAGCCUCUGCGAAGGGGUGACGGCGUACCUUUUGUAUAAUGGGUCAGCGACUUACAUUCAGUGGCAAGCUUAACCGAUUAGGGCAGGCGUAGCGAAAGCGAGUCCGAACAGGGCGUUCAGUCGCUGGGUGUAGACCCGAAACCAGGUGAUCUAUCCAUGGCCAGGAUGAAGGUGCGGUAACACGUACUGGAGGUCCGAACCCACUAACGUUGAAAAGUUAGGGGAUGAGCUGUGGAUAGGGGUGAAAGGCUAAACAAACCUGGAAAUAGCUGGUUCUCUCCGAAAACUAUUUAGGUAGUGCCUCGUGUAUCACCUUCGGGGGUAGAGCACUGUCAUGGUUGUGGGGUCCAUUGCGGAUUACUACGCCAUAGCAAACUCCGAAUACCGAAGAGUGCAAUCACGGGAGACAGACAUCGGGUGCUAACGUCCGGUGUCAAGAGGGAAACAACCCAGACCGCCAGCUAAGGUCCCCAAAUAUGGCUAAGUGGGAAACGAAGUGGGAAGGCUAAAACAGUCAGGAGGUUGGCUUAGAAGCAGCCAUCCUUUAAAGAAAGCGUAAUAGCUCACUGAUCGAGUCGUCCUGCGCGGAAGAUGUAACGGGGCUAAGCCAUAUACCGAAGCUGCGGAUGCACAUUUAUGUGCAUGGUAGGAGAGCGUUCCGUAAGCCUGCGAAGGUGCACUGGAAAGUGUGCUGGAGGUAUCGGAAGUGCGAAUGCUGACAUGAGUAGCGAUAAAGGGGGUGAAAGGCCCCCUCGCCGUAAGCCCAAGGUUUCCUACGCAACGUUCAUCGGCGUAGGGUGAGUCGGCCCCUAAGGCGAGGCAGAAAUGCGUAGCUGAUGGGAAGCAGGUUAAUAUUCCUGCACCAUUGUUGAAUGCGAUGGGGGGACGGAUCGCGGAAGGUUGUCCGGGUGUUGGAAGUCCCGGUCCUUGCAUUGGAGAAGGCGCUUUGGCAAAUCCGGGCGCGGAAUUCAAGGGUGUGAGGCCAGUCACUUCGGUGACGAAGCAAUCGGAAGUGGUUCCAGGAAAAGCCUCUAAGCUUCAGUUCAACAAGACCGUACCGCAAACCGACACAGGUGGGCGAGAUGAGUAUUCUAAGGCGCUUGAGAGAACUCGGGAGAAGGAACUCGGCAAAUUGGUACCGUAACUUCGGGAUAAGGUACGCCCCUGUAGCUUGACUGGCCUGCGCCAGGAGGGUGAAGGGGUUGCAAUAAACUGGUGGCUGCGACUGUUUAAUAAAAACACAGCACUCUGCAAACACGAAAGUGGACGUAUAGGGUGUGACGCCUGCCCGGUGCCGGAAGAUUAAAUGAUGGGGUGCAAGCUCCUGAUUGAAGUCCCGGUAAACGGCGGCCGUAACUAUAACGGUCCUAAGGUAGCGAAAUUCCUUGUCGGGUAAGUUCCGACCUGCACGAAUGGCGUAACGAUGGCCACACUGUCUCCUCCCGAGACUCAGCGAAGUUGAAGUGUUUGUGAUGAUGCAAUCUCCCCGCGGCUAGACGGAAAGACCCCAUGAACCUUUACUGUAGCUUUGCAUUGGACUUUGAACCGGUCUGUGUAGGAUAGGUGGGAGGCUGUGAAGCGUGGACGCCAGUCUGCGUGGAGCCAUCCUUGAAAUACCACCCUGAUCUGUUUGAGGUUCUAACCUUGGUCCGUAAUCCGGAUCGGGGACAGUGCAUGGUAGGCAGUUUGACUGGGGCGGUCUCCUCCCAAAGUGUAACGGAGGAGUACGAAGGUACGCUAGGUACGGUCGGAAAUCGUGCUGAUAGUGCAAUGGCAUAAGCGUGCUUAACUGCGAGACCGACAAGUCGAGCAGGUGCGAAAGCAGGUCAUAGUGAUCCGGUGGUUCUGUAUGGAAGGGCCAUCGCUCAACGGAUAAAAGGUACUCUGGGGAUAACAGGCUGAUACCGCCCAAGAGUUCAUAUCGACGGCGGUGUUUGGCACCUCGAUGUCGGCUCAUCUCAUCCUGGGGCUGUAGCCGGUCCCAAGGGUAUGGCUGUUCGCCAUUUAAAGAGGUACGUGAGCUGGGUUUAAAACGUCGUGAGACAGUUUGGUCCCUAUCUGCCGUGGGCGCUGGAUAUUUGAAGGGGGCUGCUCCUAGUACGAGAGGACCGGAGUGGACGAACCUCUGGUGUACCGGUUGUCACGCCAGUGGCAUCGCCGGGUAGCUAUGUUCGGAAGAGAUAACCGCUGAAAGCAUCUAAGCGGGAAACUCGCCUUAAGAUGAGAUAUCCCCGGGGCUUCGAGCCCCUUGAAGGGUCGUUCAAGACCAGGACGUUGAUAGGUCAGGUGUGUAAGCGCAGUAAUGUGCUCAGCUAACUGAUACUAAUUGCCCGUAAGGCUUGAUCCU
Molecule: ribosomal RNA, 2881 nt
Filed under: Paraburkholderia strydomiana
Lineage: Bacteria; Pseudomonadati; Pseudomonadota; Betaproteobacteria; Burkholderiales; Burkholderiaceae
Description: 23S ribosomal RNA
Rfam family: Bacterial large subunit ribosomal RNA
Source: RNAcentral